Meleagris gallopavo (turkey) is the source of this 282-nucleotide non-coding RNA. NCBI's taxonomy places the organism in Eukaryota, Metazoa, Chordata, Aves, Galliformes, Phasianidae. The record is from RefSeq and is a predicted model, not a curated record.
CGCCCUGUGGGAAGACAACAGCCGCCCGCCGUGCGGAGUGGUGAACCGGCUGCUGGCAGAGGUGUCCCAGGACCUGACGGCAGCCCAGGGCGUGACUGGCAAUAUGAAGACAGCUGCCAGCAAUGUCCUGGUGGCUCUGGCUCGGACGCACUUCACCUUGGUGAUGGCCGAGCUCCAGAGCCACCUGAAGGCCACGGGGGACAUGUGCAAGGAGUUUGUGCUCGUCACCCUGAGCAAACUCUUCAGCACCUAUGCUCCGCAGUGCAUCCCUUCCUAUGUGGC